RNAcentral lists this unclassified non-coding RNA (338 nucleotides) under soil metagenome. RNAcentral describes it as "partial contains 5.8S ribosomal RNA, internal transcribed spacer 2, and large subunit ribosomal RNA". The stretch from base 1 to 121 matches the Rfam family "5.8S ribosomal RNA", at positions 35 to 154 of the family's 154-position model. The record is from RNAcentral.
GAUGAAGAACGUAGCGAAUUGCGAUAUGUAAUGUGAAUUGCAGAUUUUCAGUGAAUCAUCGAAUCUUUGAACGCACCUUGCGCUCCUUGGUAUUCCGAGGAGCAUGCCUGUUCGAGUGUCAUUACACCACUCAAGCUAUGCUUGGUAUUGGGCGUCGUCCUUAGUUGGGCGCGCCUUAAAGACCUCGGCGAGGCCACUCCGGCUUUAGGCGUAGUAGAAUUUAUUCGAACGUCUGUCAAAGGAGAGGAACUCUGCCGACUGAAACCUUUAUUUUUCUAGGUUGACCUCGGAUCAGGUAGGGAUACCCGCUGAACUUAAGCAUAUCAAUAAGCGGAGGA